Molecule: long non-coding RNA, 1002 nt
Filed under: Ficedula albicollis (Collared flycatcher)
Lineage: Eukaryota; Metazoa; Chordata; Aves; Passeriformes; Muscicapidae
Description: lncRNA (ENSFALG00000028701.1)
Source: RNAcentral
AUGGCAUUCCAGGCACACCUGGCACCUGGAAGCUGGGGCUGUCCGAUGGCACCGCAGAGGGAUCCUCAUUCCUGGGGGAUCCCUGAGCCUCAGGGCUGCCCGUGGGAUCAGGGGGGGCUGUGGCCUCAUGGAGGGGCUCGGGGGGCACAGUGGGUGCCAGAGGAUAUCCAGAGGGAUUUGGAAUGGUUGGUGGGGGCUUCCCAGCACCCCAAAUCCCCGGAGAGGGGCCAAGGGGAAGUGUGGUGGGAAGCAGGAGCUGGGCCAGGCGGUAGCGGUGGUGUUGAGGGGUGCCAGGGGAUGAAUCUUCAGGGACUGGGGACUGGGGUGAGAAUGGGGGUGAGGUUGGGGAGUGGGAUGAGGAUGGAGAUGAGGAUGAGGAUGGAGAUGAGGAUGGGGACUGGGAUGAGGAUGAGGAUGGGGGCUGGGAUGAGGAUGGGGACAGGUCUCUGUCCUGCAGCGGGAGUCGGAUGUCUGUGGCUGAUGGAGGGAGGAUUUUGGUCAGCACCCACCUCUUUCCUAGGAACCCCCAGUCUGGAGGUGGCACAUCCAAGUGCCCAGGGAUGGAUCCGGGGAUCCCAAUACCUGGGCAGGAUGGGCAGCAGCCCACGGGCAGCGUGGGGGGCUCAGAGCAGGAGCGGGGGCACGGCCUCUCCUCACAGCUCACCUCUCCAAGCUGGAAAAACAGGGAUUGGCCGGCCUGCCAGCCCUUCCUGGUAUCCAAUAGCACUGGCACAGGCACGCCAUGGACACGGGCAUCCCACGGGAAUGGGCGGGAGGUCUCACCUGGCAUGUGCAGCGGGUACAGGGCUGACCCUCGGGAAUGAAGCUCUGGCCGUUCUCCACCUUCCUGCCCUGGUAGUUGCAGUCUGCAGGGACCAAGGUCCAGAGGGGGUUCUGGGGGACUCGGGGGGAUUUUGGAGUGUUCAGGGGGAUUUUGGGGACCCACCCAAUCUCGUACCCUCACAGACGGGGCAGCACCGACCCUCGGGGUGGAAGGGGUAG